This 476-nucleotide long non-coding RNA is filed under the name Laticauda laticaudata (blue-ringed sea krait). RNAcentral's name for it is "lncRNA (ENSLLTG00000015993.1)". Lineage: Eukaryota; Metazoa; Chordata; Lepidosauria; Squamata; Elapidae. The record is from RNAcentral.
AGACAAAGAGAGGGGGAUCAGCUGCUAACAAAGAUGGAGGAACUUCUCCAGAACUUACCUUGAUGGUGCAAUCCAUGGCACGCCUCUACCUGCUGCUUUCCGCCUAGAUCUCCAUGGGCAGUCAGAUGAGUUGCAUUGGCAGGGCUGAUCUUGCGCAGGGGGCCGGAUGAACAAGGCUUGGAAGCAAGACCAGGAGGGGUGCGUCCCACAAAAGUCAGGAGGACCCAAUGUUUGAUCUUUAAAGCAAGCGUUUUUUAUGGGUUGAAAAUUAGCUUCUGAAGUCGGAAAGGCACUGUGCACUUUCAGAGUCCAAGGAGCAGAAGAUAUUUUGUGCUACUCAAACUUUGGUAUUUGUUUACCUGCAAGAAAUUUCUCCAAACCGGCCAUCCCAUAAGAGACCUCUGCAAAGUGGUGAGUAAAAUCAGGGGUUGAGGCAAGGAUUGUAUUGGAGUGAGGUGUGUGUGUGUGUGUGUGAA